AGGGUUCUUGUCUCACGGAGUCGAAGAAUGAAUCUCGCGGACACAAGAGGGUGAAAUGAAGUGAAGGAGCCUUUAGGAGAAUGGCCUGAUCUGGGAUUGGCCCUGGUCGUGCUGACACAUGGAGUUCACCUAUUCUGAACUGAGCUGUGCUCAGAACAUAGUCCUAUAGCCAACAAGAGGAUGGGAUUUGUGUCCCUGAAGUAGAGGACUUGACGUGGCCCAGUGCUUCUCAGGUGAAGAGCUGAUCUGAGGAACAUUCUGAAGUGGUCUGCAGCAUUAGAAUCGAGGGAGAUGAUUCUGUCCUUACUACAGUCUACACUCUUCCUGCUCCCUGCUUCCCUGAAUUACCAGGAUGAUGGACUCAAUUCUGAGACCCAGUAUGAUUUCUGGCAGCCACAGUCUAUUUCACACGCCACCUCCUGGGAUUACCACAUCCUUUGUAGAGCUGCCCUGUCCUGUGGUGAAGGUUUUUACUUGGCGGGGGAACCUUUAUAAAGAGCCCACAUCUUCAGAACUACAAAUUACUGGAGAAACGAAGAGGAAAGAACAUAAUUGAUGAACAUUCUGGAGAAAAGCCUGGGUACUGUCAUAUCAAUAAAGACAAGCGUAGUGGGCUGAAGUGGCCCCUCAAAAAGUUAUAUGCACUUCCUAAUACUGGGAAGGAGUGAAUAUUACUUUCUAUGGUAACAAAUUUGAUUAAAUGAAGGAUCUUGAGAUUAGAAGAUUAUCUGGGAUCAUCCAGGUGGGUCCUCAACGUCAUCACAUCACCCACAAGAGAAACAGAAGAGGAGACACAGAUGCACAGAGAAGAAGAUGCAUGAAGACGGAGGCAUACAUUGGAGUGAUGUGAUGUGGCUGCAGAGCCAGGAACCACAAGGACCGUGGCAGCCACCAGGAGCCAGGAGAGAGGCAUGGAAGAGAUUCUCCUUCAGGACUGCCAGAAGGAACCAAGCCUGCCGACACCCUGAUUUGGGGCUUCGAGCCUCCAGAACUGGGAAAGGAUACAUUUGUGUUGUUUUAAGCCACCCGGUUUGUGGUAAGUUGUGACAGUGGCCUCAGGAAACUAGCCCAACAAGCAAACACACAAAACUGGAUGGACAGAGACCACUGGUACCGAUGUACCACGGUAUUGCCACGCCAGCACUUGACAGUCCUAAGCAGCGAGCAUGGCCGGGCUCAGUGACCUCACCACCUGCCUAGACA
This is a non-coding RNA of Callorhinus ursinus (northern fur seal), 1203 nucleotides long. The record is from RefSeq and is a predicted model, not a curated record. Lineage: Eukaryota; Metazoa; Chordata; Mammalia; Carnivora; Otariidae.